UACGUAGGUGGCAAGCGUUGUCCGGAUUUAUUGGGCUUAAAGGGUGCGUAGGCGGCCUAUUAAGUCAGUGCUGAAAUAUCCCGGCUUAACCGGGAGGGUGGCAUUGAUACUGAUGGGCUUGAGUAGAGUUGAGGUUGGCGGAAUUGACGGUGUAGCGGUGAAAUGCUUAGAUAUCGUCAAGAACACCUAUGGCGAAGGCAGCUAACUAAGCUGAAACUGACGCUGAGGCACGAAAGUGUGGGGAUCAAACAGG
This 253-nucleotide ribosomal RNA is filed under the name uncultured bacterium. Its description in RNAcentral is "partial 16S ribosomal RNA". It matches the Rfam family "Bacterial small subunit ribosomal RNA", at positions 524 to 776 of the family's 1533-position model. The record is from RNAcentral.